RNAcentral lists this ribosomal RNA (498 nucleotides) under uncultured bacterium. RNAcentral describes it as "partial 16S ribosomal RNA". It matches the Rfam family "Bacterial small subunit ribosomal RNA", at positions 30 to 523 of the family's 1533-position model. The record is from RNAcentral.
AUUGAACGCUGGCGGCAUGCCUUACGCAUGCAAGUCGAACGGUAACAGGUCUUCGGAUGCUGACGAGUGGCGAACGGGUGAGUAAUACAUCGGAACGUGCCUAGUAGUGGGGGAUAACUACUCGAAAGAGUGGCUAAUACCGCAUGAGAUCUACGGAUGAAAGCAGGGGAUCGCAAGACCUUGUGCUACUAGAGCGGCCGAUGGCAGAUUAGGUAGUUGGUGGGAUAAAAGCUUACCAAGCCGACGAUCUGUAGCUGGUCUGAGAGGACGAUCAGCCAGUCUGGGACUGGGACACGGCCCAGACUCCUACGGUAGGGAGCAGUGGGGAAUUUUGGACAAUGGGCGCAAGCCUGAUCCAGCAAUGCCGCGUGCAGGAUGAAGGCCUUCGGGUUGUAAACUGCUUUUGUACGGAACGAAAAGCCCCGGGUUAAUACCCUGGGGUCAUGACGGUACCGUAAGAAUAAGCACCGGCUAACUACGUGCCAGCCGCCGCCGUAA